RNAcentral lists this ribosomal RNA (119 nucleotides) under Pteropus alecto (black flying fox). The record is from RNAcentral. Lineage: Eukaryota; Metazoa; Chordata; Mammalia; Chiroptera; Pteropodidae.
GUCUACGGCCACGCCACCCUGAACACGCCCGAUCCCGUCUGCUCUCGGAAGCUAAGCAGGGUCGGGCCUGGUUAAUACUUGGAUGGGAGACCACGGAGGAAGACCAGGUGCUGUAGGCG